This 402-nucleotide ribosomal RNA is filed under the name bacterium. RNAcentral's name for it is "partial 16S ribosomal RNA". It matches the Rfam family "Bacterial small subunit ribosomal RNA", at positions 355 to 776 of the family's 1533-position model. The record is from RNAcentral.
UGGGGAAUUUUGCACAAUGGGGGAAACCCUGAUGCAGCGACGCCGCGUGAUUUAGAAGGCCUUCGGGUUGCAAAAAUCUUUUCUAUGGGAAGAAAAUGACAGUACCAUAGGAAUAAGGACCGGCUAAUUACGUGCCAGCAGCCGCGGUAAUACGUAAGGUCCGAGCGUUGUCCGGAAUCAUUUGGCGUAAAGGGUACGUAGGCGGGUAAGCCAGUUAGAAGUGAAAUCCUAUAGCUCAACUAUAGUAAGCUUUUAAAACUGCUCAUCUUGAGGUAUGGAAGGGAAAGUGGAAUUCCUAGUGUAGCGGUGAAAUGCGCAGAUAUUAGGAGGAGUACCGGUGGCGAAGGCGACUUUCUGGCCAUAACCUGACGCUGAGGUACGAAAGCGUAGGUAGCAGACAGG